GGCAAGAUGGCCGAGUUGGUUAUGGCGUGAGGUUAAGGUCCCAUCCUUAACAUCCUAUCUAGGUAUCCUCAUGGAGCAAUCCGCGUGGGUUCAAGUCCCACUCUUGUCA
Jackrogersella minutella is the source of this 109-nucleotide non-coding RNA. The record is from the annotation of a GenBank genome assembly. NCBI's taxonomy places the organism in Eukaryota, Fungi, Ascomycota, Sordariomycetes, Xylariales, Hypoxylaceae.